AAAACUUAUUGGCAUCCUUCUGUUCUUGGGAUGAAUGAGGUGUAGAUGAGAUCUACAGCUUAUGUAACUCUGGGAGGUGAUUGCCCUAAGAUAUGAUCAAGACCAGCUGGAUUGUAUGCAUUCAUAUUUUCCAAGGCUGGCCCUGCUGAAGAAAAACACUGCAGUGAAGAAUCCAUAAUAAGGAGAUAGCAUGGACAGCAUAUGGGACACCUUUGAAAGCUAAAGCAGUCCCUCCAAAUGUGGACAGACAUGAAGCUCUGGAUCACUAUGAGUCCAGGCACAGAUGAUCUUCUUUCUUCUCCAUGAGGGAUCACAGCCUGGCUGGUCUCUGAAGGACUCUCUCUAGGACUCUCUUCUGUACAUUGAUUGUAAUGACUCCUUUGUAGCCUCAAGCUGUGGGGCAAUAACAGGUUUCAAUGAUUCAAAUGGUAUUUGGGAGGUCAGCCUGAAGUAGUAGUAGUGAUCCACUCAGCUGUAUCAUAAGCAUAGCUUAAUAGAAAACUGAAGUAG
This 510-nucleotide long non-coding RNA is filed under the name Anser brachyrhynchus (Pink-footed goose). RNAcentral's name for it is "lncRNA (ENSABRG00000017488.1)". The record is from RNAcentral. Lineage: Eukaryota; Metazoa; Chordata; Aves; Anseriformes; Anatidae.